AUAGAAAAGAAAACCAAUAAUCAACUUGUUUAAUCAUUUAUAAUUUAUAAACUCGUUUUCACUCAAGUACAUUCUAUUUCCUGAGUUAAUCCGAGUUACAGAGCAGUUCGUGAAAGUUAUUUAUCUUAGAAACAGGUAAGCAUCUAUAAAUAUCUAUGAUAUAAGUAGAAAGCGCUUUUUCGAUAAUAAAACGACUGUUUUCCCUCAUUUUCAAUGUGACAAUUAUAAGUCACGUUCAGAGGUUUUGCUAUGCGCAUUUCAGCAUUUCUCUGACCAAUGUGACUCGAAUCUUAACGACCGGUUACGUCAAAGAGGCAAUGAUUCUUUGAGUUACCUCGAACGUGCUUGGAAACUUGCUAAUGACGUUUUAACAACCUCUGACUUCGACGUAAGGACGUUAAGAUCAUCGAUUGUUUUAGAAUUAACUUGUUUAUUUAUGAUGUGACUUUGUCGACGAAUCAUCAAGGAUACUUUUUAUACACCUGUAUUUCCAGAUAUUAAUUUGUUUUAGGAUAACUGUACAUUAUUGGAACUGAAAGUCGAAUUCGCCACACCUUAGAGAGAAAGAAAACGUUAUAGAAGAGUUUGCUAAGUCACUCUAUCAAACCACAGAGAGAAAAAAUCCUAUCACCGAAACUAACGGUACUACAAUUAUGAUGAAGCUGUAGCUGUAACAAGAAAUAAUCUUUGGCGAAGAGACGACGAUGUGGCGACCUCACGAAAUACAUUCGACAAGGCCUCGACAUUCAACGAUCUGGAAGACUGAACAAUAACCAUGAAGACAACCGAGAAAACAACGAAACGGAACACUUUAAUCGCUCGAUUUUUUAGGGACAUUUUUUUGGUUUAUACAUAUGUAAGUAAAGUGACUCAACAACAUUUAAGCCGCAAGCAUACCGCCCACUUUUAGUACCGACCAUACUUGGUUGUACUACUGUUAAAAACACUUUUCCAGACACUCCUCGUGACGUCACGGAUGUGUUUGAAGGACGGUCGAGGACAAAGACAUCGCAAAAAAACAAAUUACUGAAGAUUGAAGAAUAAGAAGGUGUAAAGGAAACGAUGGGUUUGGUUGAGGAUGUGUUAAAUAAUCAAAAUUAGCAAGUUUUUAUUAGUAACUUUCGAAUUGCAAAAAAAAUCUUGAAGAUAUGUAAAUUUUUUGUUUCAAAAUUGCGAUUUUAACUAUUUUAUCUAUUUACAAUUUUUUUUCUUGGAGGAAAUGAUUUAAGAAUCUCCUUAGAAAUGUCGUAACACAAAUAGAAAAGCAGAGGUGAAACAGAAUCUCUGUGGUUUCUACAACGCUGACGUUCAUUAUGUUGUAAGCUGGUAAGAGGUGUAAUUCAAUAUAUCGUUUGUAAUUAAUCUAUACAGUUAUUUUUUUUUAGGUUUAAUUGAAAAAUGUAUAACUAAAAUGCGAAUAAGACUUUGUGAUUACAAUAUAGUUUAAGGCAUAAGAUAAUAAAAUUGAACUGCAACAAAACCGAUAAUAGUGUUGCAGAUGCGCCAAUGUGCACAAUACAAUGGAAUGACAAGAAAGGUGAAGAGUAUAAACAGUUUCGCCCACCAAAACUUAAAAACCUACAUGUUGCAUAUGAUUUAGAAUACUUCUAAAGAAUCUGCAUUGGGAGUUCUCAUACAUGUGGCGAUCGUCUUCGUUAGACUUUCAUGCAGAUUAACCGGGUAUUGAAAAACUACUGUCAAAAAAUCCCGAAAAGUCCCAAGCGGUGCGAAAACGCAUCCCUUAAGUCAGGUGAUAACACCGUUAGUUGUCCACAGCGUUCGAAAUAUACUGGAAUUUUUCGACGCAAAAUUUGAGGAACACAAUUGCGUUGUUUGGUUAAACUCAAAUGGUUAAUGAGGUAGAGCACCAAGAAACAUUAAAUUGAGGACUGAUAAUAAAACUCUUAAAAAGACACAGGAUACCCUAAUGAUUUUUGUGGAGUCUUACUACAGAACUAAUUAAAGGUCAUCUUAUUCAUUGCGAGUUAUGCUGACCAUUGAGACAAUGUAACUGGUGUGACAGAUCGAAUUUGUCGAAAAAGACAAACCUAAUUUUUUCCACAUGGAAGCGAAAAUUCGGUAAUUCUAGAACGUCAUUGCACUGAAGGAGCUUGUUUAAUGAAGCUAGAUAUGUGGGUAUUAUUCCAGACAGUGAGAUAAUGUAAAAAUCAUCCCUAAAUAACAGUGUCAAAAAAGCAAAUUAAUUCCAUCCAAUUAGAAAUAGCGGGAUGUAUCGAAAUCUUUGGGAAUCAACAAGACAUCAUUGUAGGAUAUGCAAUCGACAAUCUCAAGACCGCACACAUGUUACCUGAAGAUACAUAAAAUAGAACGACGUGCAUUCCGUCUAGGUGCAGUAAAGUCAAAUUCAACUGAGAAUGACAAGAUCAAACAUCCAAAUUGGAGUUUGCUUAUAACAAAAAUAGUGUACAGAACUAAAUUACUAACUAAUUUCUUCAAAUAAACUGUCUCGUAUGAUAAAGCAAGUGAAUUGAAAUUUUAUAUCUGAAAUCUAGGCCCUUCUACAAAUCCCUCAACAAUUUAUUACCCAAAAAAAUCAGCAGUAGUGCAAUUGGUGUUAACGUGUGAUGUCCAUUUAUAAUAAAACGAUUAUCUUACAAAUACAAUAAUUGCAAAGCCUG
Molecule: non-coding RNA, 2639 nt
Organism: Onthophagus taurus
Lineage: Eukaryota; Metazoa; Arthropoda; Insecta; Coleoptera; Scarabaeidae
Source: RefSeq, a predicted model, not a curated record